RNAcentral lists this ribosomal RNA (433 nucleotides) under uncultured bacterium. Its description in RNAcentral is "partial 16S ribosomal RNA". It matches the Rfam family "Bacterial small subunit ribosomal RNA", at positions 29 to 507 of the family's 1533-position model. The record is from RNAcentral.
AACGAACGCUGGCGGCAUGCCUAACACAUGCAAGUCGAACGAGACCUUCGGGUCUAGUGGCGCACGGGUGCGUAACGCGUGGGAACCUGCCCUUAGGUUCGGAAUAACUCCCCGAAAGGGGUGCUAAUACCGGAUAAUGUCUUCGGACCAAAGAUUUAUCGCCUUUGGAUGGGCCCGCGUUGGAUUAGCUAGUUGGUAGGGUAAAAGCCUACCAAGGCGACGAUCCAUAGCUGGUCUGAGAGGAUGAUCAGCCACACUGGGACUGAGACACGGCCCAGACUCCUACGGGAGGCAGCAGUGGGGAAUCUUGGACAAUGGGCGAAGGCCUGAUCCAGCAAUGCCGCGUGAGUGAUGAAGGCCUUAGGGUUGUAAAGCUCUUUUACCCGGGAUGAUAAUGACAGUACCGGGAGAAUAAGCCCCGGCUAACUCCGUG